This 386-nucleotide long non-coding RNA is filed under the name Brassica rapa (field mustard). RNAcentral describes it as "long non-coding RNA (BRAP_LNC006796)". The record is from RNAcentral. Lineage: Eukaryota; Viridiplantae; Streptophyta; Magnoliopsida; Brassicales; Brassicaceae.
AAAUAAAUAAUAAGUAAAUAAUGUAAAUAUAUAAUAUAUGAAUUAUAUUUAUAAUAAUAAGUAAAUACACAAUAUUUUAAGAAAAUGGAAAAAGUUCAUUAAACAUUAAACAUCUAUCUUAAAAUGUAAAAUAUAUAAUAUAAGUAAAUACACAAUUAAAAAAAAAUGGAAAAAGUACAUUAAGAUUUAAAUAUCUAUUUUAAAAUAUAAAAUAUAGAUAUUACGUAAGUAAAAAUAUAAGAAAUGGAGAUAAACAUUUAAAAAUGAAAAAAGUACAUUAAGAUUUAAACAUCUAUCUUAAAAUGGUAGUAUAUUAUAUAAAAAUGGAAAUACCACAUUAAACAAAAAAAAUAUAUAGUUUUACAUCAAGAAAGUUCCUAUAAAAC